AGUCAAGAAAAAGGCAGCUCAGACAACGGGAAGGACAGAAGGGUUUGCAGAGAGUGAAAGGAGCCAACGCAGGAUAGGGCAAGCCAGAGCAAACAGCUCUGGGCUGGGGUGGAGGUGGACUCUGGCAAAUGGAGAAGAACUUGGGAUGGAACUAACUCUCUGCCCCACCAAGGGCAUGGGGAAUAGCAAAGCCAAAGGGGGGCCAUCAAUUUUAAGCAAGAUAUCUCUUGAGGAAGUACUCGCUGCCAAGGGAGUCCAUGUUUCAUCAGCCAGUGGGCAGAUUUGACUGGAUUGCCAAAAGGGCUGGCUGGCCUCCGGGCUGCCAAUCAUUCCCCAAACCCUGAUCGGGCAGUAAAAAACCCAUGUGGAAGAGGGUUAGGGAGAAACAGGAGGAACCACGAGCACACAGCCAUCUCUGAGCCACAGCAUUUAGGAAAAUGCUCUCAACUUGGCAUGAUUGCAAGGGUUAAGUGAUUUGCCCUAGGUCAUGAAGCUUCUAACUUGGACAAGUCCCAUCAUCUCCCUGGACCUCAGUUCCCCCAUCUGUAAGAGGAGGGAGUUGAACGGGAUGCUUUCUGCAGUUCUUGUCAGUGCAGACAUUCUGCAGGUCUAAUCAAGGGCUUCUGAUCUGCCAAUUUCAUCUCCCUGGAUUACUGUGGUUAUCUGAAGACAGGCCCAAGGGAACAACAGAGCCAGAGGGCUGAUCUGAGAAAGGCAGAGCCUGCUCCUCUUUGAGAGCCCCCUGGAGCCCUUGCAGAGGCAUCCCCAGGCUUAGGAGGCAUCACUAUACAGGAGAGUCCAUUCCAGUUCCAGCGGGGUCCUCACCCUACCCCUACUCCCUGGGAGUCACACCUGUGAGGUCAGAUUCCUGAUCCUGGCUCCCUGCAUUUCAUUGUCAACCUAUGGCUGCACACACCACUGCAGAUGCUGAAGACACCGUCUUGGCCACAGGGAAGACUGUACUACUGAGACUACAAGACUGAGCCUGCCUUUUGAUUGGUCAAUGUUGCUUUUCCCUUGGUGGGAGAUGAACAAGAAAACAGACUGGGGACUCAAAACACACCAGGUGUUUAAUAGGUGGCUAAGUGAAUAGGCUUUCCAAAUUACAUGCCAACACAGCAGCUUGCCACAGCUUUCAGCCCACUGCUUGCACUAUGGUUUCUGGACUCAACAGAAAGGUCAAGGGAGUGCCAGCUGACUGUCACAUGGUCUGCAAGCCCCUGAUGGGAGGACCAAGUCAUCGACUCUAGCCUGCAUCUUAGCAUCUCCUGGGUUGAACUGACAAGCUGUUUCCAGCAUUCAGCCCCAGCAACUGUGAGUCCUGAAGCACUCCACUGUGCCCCUUGGCGAGCCUCUGCCUGCCCUCUUUAGCCUGACUCUGCUGUAGAUCAGAAAGGCAGGUUCAGGUCCUGGCCCUGGCACUGCCUUCCCAAGGGACUGGACUGGCUCCCUCCCCCAUGAGGAUAACUGCAGGGUGAUGGGGAGGUGAGUGCUUUGCCUCCUAGGAGGAAAGGCUACUAUGUGAUGCAAUGUCCACUCACUGUCAUUCCCAUAUUAGUACUGCACACAUCCCAGCACAGCAGCUUCAGAUACAUCCAGACACUUUCAGGGCUCCCCCCAGCCAGAUGGGAUGGCAUGGAACUGCUGGUGGCAACAGCAGAAGCACCUGUUGUGUGUGUGUGUGUGUUGCACAAGGACCCUUCUAGAGCUUGGCCCAUAUAUGUAUAGAAAACCACCUCUGAUGCUAUAUCUCCUAGUAAAUAGUGCUGUUUGUAAUAAUGUUUUACUCAGUGAUUACCAUAUGCAAGGUGUUAUACUAAACACUUGUCAUGACUUAUUAAUCCAGUGUUUCUCAAAGUGUGUCCCAAGGAACCCCAGCAGGAUCUCUGAGACCUUUUUCGUGUAUCUGUGAGGAGAGAACUAUUUUUAUAACAACUCUAACAUUUUCACUGUAAUGCUCUCACAAAUACACAGCAGAGUUUCCCAGAGCCUACAUGAUGUGAUACCAUAACACACUGAAUGACAGAGCAGAUAUGAGAACCCAGCUGUUUUCUAGUAAGUCAGACACUAAUCUAUACAAAUGUAAAGCAAUGUCACUCUUCUGUUUUUUUGUUUUACAAAAAAAUUAUUUUUCAGAAACAAUAUUGCUUAUGUUAACAUGCAAUCAGUUUUUUUUGUUUUUGUUUUUGUUUUUUUUUUUGAGACGGAGUCUCGCUCUGUCACCCAGGCUGGAGUGCAGUGGCACUAUCUCGGCUCACUGCAAGCUCCACCUCCCAGGUUCACGCCAUUCUCCUGCCUCAGCCUUCCGAG
This 2310-nucleotide long non-coding RNA is filed under the name Homo sapiens (human). Its description in RNAcentral is "non-protein coding lnc-DCP1B-9:1". The record is from RNAcentral. Lineage: Eukaryota; Metazoa; Chordata; Mammalia; Primates; Hominidae.